This 475-nucleotide ribosomal RNA is filed under the name uncultured bacterium. RNAcentral's name for it is "bacterial SSU rRNA". It matches the Rfam family "Bacterial small subunit ribosomal RNA", at positions 28 to 516 of the family's 1533-position model. The record is from RNAcentral.
GAUGAACGCUAGCGGCAGGCCUAAUACAUGCAAGUCGAACGAAGCAGCAAUGCUUAGUGGCGCACGGGUGCGUAACACGUAUGUAACCUACCUUUUACUGGGGGAUAACUUCUCGAAAGAGAAGCUAAUACCGCAUAAUACAUUAAAGUCACCUGAUUUAAAUGUUAAAGAUUUAUUGGUAAAAGAUGGGCAUGCGUCCAAUUAGCUAGUUGGUAGUGUAACGGACCACCAAGGCUACGAUUGGUAGGGGUCUGAGAGGAUGGUCCCCACACUGGUACUGAGAUACGGACCAGACUCCUACGGAGGCAGCAGUAGGGAAUAUUGGGCAAUGGACGAAAGUCUGACCCAGCCAUGCCGCGUGCAGGAUGAAGGCCCUCUGGGUUGUAAACUGCUUUUGACAGGGAAUAAUACACCAUGCGUGGUGGGCUGACGGUACCUGUAGAAUUAAGCACCGGCUAACUCCGUGCCAGCAGCC